Molecule: ribosomal RNA, 292 nt
Filed under: uncultured bacterium
Lineage: Bacteria
Description: partial 16S ribosomal RNA
Rfam family: Bacterial small subunit ribosomal RNA
Source: RNAcentral
GUGCCAGCCGCCGCGGUAAUACGGAGGGUGCGAGCGUUGUCCGGAAUCACUGGGCGUAAAGGGCGCGUAGGCGGCGCGGAAAGUCAACGGUGAAAGCUUGGGGCUCAACCCCGAGUCGGCCGUCGAUACUUCCGUGCUCGAGCACUGUAGAGGCAGGUGGAAUUCCGGGUGUAGCGGUGGAAUGCGUAGAGAUCCGGAAGAACACCGGUGGCGAAGGCGGCCUGCUGGGCAGUAGCUGACGCUGAUGCGCGACAGCGUGGGGAGCAAACAGGAUUAGAUACCCCGGUAGUCC